AGUAGGGAGGAAGGCAGGUUCGUUAAUAGCGGCAUUGUUUGACGUUACCUACAGAAGAAGCCCCGGCUAACUCCGUGCCAGCAGCCGCGGUAAUACGGAGGGUGCGAGCGUUAAUCGGAAUUACUGGGCGUAAAGCGCAUGCAGGCGGUCUGUUAAGCAAGAUGUGAAAGCCCGGGGCUCAACCUCGGAACAGCAUUUUGAACUGGCAGACUAGAGUCUUGUAGAGGGGGGUAGAAUUUCAGGUGUAGCGGUGAAAUGCGUAGAGAUCUGAAGGAAUACCGGUGGCGAAGGCGGCCCCCUGGACAAAGACUGACGCUCAGAUGCGAAAGCGUGGGGAGCAAACAGGAUUAGAUACCCUGGUAGUCCACGCCGUAAACGAUGUCUACUUGGAGGUUGUGGCCUUGAGCCGUGGCUUUCGGAGCUAACGCGUUAAGUAGACCGCCUGGGGAGUACGGUCGCAAGAUUAAAACUCAAAUGAAUUGACGGGGGCCCGCACAAGCGGUGGAGCAUGUGGUUUAAUUCGAUGCAACGCGAAGAACC
RNAcentral lists this ribosomal RNA (540 nucleotides) under Photobacterium sp. RNAcentral describes it as "bacterial SSU rRNA". It matches the Rfam family "Bacterial small subunit ribosomal RNA", at positions 438 to 970 of the family's 1533-position model. Lineage: Bacteria; Pseudomonadati; Pseudomonadota; Gammaproteobacteria; Vibrionales; Vibrionaceae. The record is from RNAcentral.